AGUGAACGCUGGCGGUAGGCCUAACACAUGCAAGUCGAACGGCAGCACAGUAAGAGCUUGCUCUUACGGGUGGCGAGUGGCGGACGGGUGAGGAAUACAUCGGAAUCUACUUUUUCGUGGGGGAUAACGUAGGGAAACUUACGCUAAUACCGCAUACGACCUACGGGUGAAAGCAGGGGAUCUUCGGACCUUGCGCGAUUGAAUGAGCCGAUGUCGGAUUAGCUAGUUGGCGGGGUAAAGGCCCACCAAGGCGACGAUCCGUAGCUGGUCUGAGAGGAUGAUCAGCCACACUGGAACUGAGACACGGUCCAGACCCCUACGGGAGGCAGCAGUGGGGAAUAUUGGACAAUGGGCGCAAGCCUGAUCCAGCCAUACCGCGUGGGUGAAGAAGGCCUUCGGGUUGUAAAGCCCUUUUGUUGGGAAAGAAAAGCAGCAGGUUAAUACCCCGCUAUUCUGACGGUACCCAAAGAAUAAGCACCGGCUAACUUCGUG
Molecule: ribosomal RNA, 492 nt
Filed under: uncultured bacterium
Lineage: Bacteria
Description: partial 16S ribosomal RNA
Rfam family: Bacterial small subunit ribosomal RNA
Source: RNAcentral